AUUGAACGCUGGCGGCAUGCCUUACACAUGCAAGUCGAACGGUAACAGGUCUUCGGAUGCUGACGAGUGGCGAACGGGUGAGUAAUACAUCGGAACGUGCCUAGUAGUGGGGGAUAACUACUCGAAAGAGUGGCUAAUACCGCAUGAGAUCUACGGAUGAAAGCAGGGGAUCGCAAGACCUUGUGCUACUAGAGCGGCCGAUGGCAGAUUAGGUAGUUGGUGGGAUAAAAGCUUACCAAGCCGACGAUCUGUAGCUGGUCUGAGAGGACGAUCAGCCACAUUGGGACUAAGACACGGCCCAGACUCCUACGGGAGGCAGCAGUGGGGAAUUUUGGACAAUGGGCGCAAGCCUUAUCCAGCAAUGCCGCGUGCAGGAUGAAGGCCUUCGGGUUGUAAACUGCUUUUGUACGGAACGAAAAGCCCUGGGUUAAUACCCUGGGGCCAUGACGGUACCGUAAGAAUAAGCACCGGCUAACUACGUGCCAGCCGCCGCGGUAA
This 498-nucleotide ribosomal RNA is filed under the name uncultured bacterium. Its description in RNAcentral is "partial 16S ribosomal RNA". It matches the Rfam family "Bacterial small subunit ribosomal RNA", at positions 30 to 523 of the family's 1533-position model. The record is from RNAcentral.